Molecule: ribosomal RNA, 408 nt
Filed under: uncultured bacterium
Lineage: Bacteria
Description: partial 16S ribosomal RNA
Rfam family: Bacterial small subunit ribosomal RNA
Source: RNAcentral
GGAAGAACGCCUUGUCGGUUAAUACCCGGMAGGMWUGACAUCUACUCUACAGAAGAAGCACCGGCUAACUCCCGUGCCAGCAGCCGCGGUAAUACGGAVGGUGCAAACGUUAAUCGGAAUUACUGGGCCGUAAAACGCGCGGUAAGUGGGUUGGUUAACCCRGWUGUGAAAGCCCCGGGVCUCAACCCUGGGGAACUUGCAUUUUGGAACURUUAKGGCUAGAGUGCAGGAGAGGAAGGUAGGAAUUCCCGGUGUAAGCGGUGAAAUGCGUAGAAGAUCSGGAGGAAUACCAGUGGCGAAGGCGGCCUUCUGGACUGACACUGACACUGAGGUGCGAAAGCGUGGGUAGCAAACAGGAUUAGAUACCCUGGUAGUCCACGCCGUAAACGAUGUCUACYAGYCGUUGGG